UACGUAGGGGCUAGCGUUAUCCGGAAUUACUGGGCGUAAAGGGUGCGUAGGCGGUCUUUCAAGCCAGAAGUGAAAGGCUACGGCUCAACCGUAGUAAGCUUUUGGAACUGUAAGACUUGAGUGCAGGAGAGGAGAGUGGAAUUCCUAGUGUAGCGGUGAAAUGCGUAGAUAUUAGGAGGAACACCAGUAGCGAAGGCGGCUCUCUGGACUGUAACUGACGCUGAGGCACAAAAGCGUGGGGAGCAAACAGGAUUAGAUACCCUGGUAGUCCCU
This 273-nucleotide ribosomal RNA is filed under the name uncultured prokaryote. Its description in RNAcentral is "partial 16S ribosomal RNA". It matches the Rfam family "Bacterial small subunit ribosomal RNA", at positions 524 to 798 of the family's 1533-position model. The record is from RNAcentral.